RNAcentral lists this ribosomal RNA (249 nucleotides) under uncultured bacterium. Its description in RNAcentral is "partial 16S ribosomal RNA". It matches the Rfam family "Bacterial small subunit ribosomal RNA", at positions 42 to 305 of the family's 1533-position model. The record is from RNAcentral.
GCACGCCUAACACAUGCAAGUCGAGCGCUACCUUCGGGUGGAGCGGCGGACGGGUGAGUAACGCGUAGGAAUCUGCCGAGUAGUGGGGGAUAGCCCAGAGAAAUUUGGAUUAAUACCGCAUACGCCCUACGGGGGAAAGGAGGGGAUCUUCGGACCUUUCGCUAUUCGAUGAGCCUGCGUGAGAUUAGCUUGUUGGUGAGGUAAAGGCUCACCAAGGCGACGAUCUCUAGCUGGUCUGAGAGGAUGAUC